Molecule: ribosomal RNA, 323 nt
Filed under: uncultured Pseudomonadota bacterium
Lineage: Bacteria; Pseudomonadati; Pseudomonadota
Description: bacterial SSU rRNA
Rfam family: Bacterial small subunit ribosomal RNA
Source: RNAcentral
AUUGAACGCUGGCGGCAUGCCUUACACAUGCAAGUCGAACGGCAGCACGGGGGGCAACCCCUGGUGGCGAGUGGCGAACGGGUGAGUAAUGUAUCGGAACGUACCCUGUAGCGGGGGAUAACGCGUCGAAAGAUGUGCUAAUACCGCAUACGCUCUACGGAGGAAAGCGGAGGACCGAAAGGCUUCGCACUACAGGAGCGGCCGAUACCGGAUUAGCUAGUUGGCGGGGUAACGGCCCACCAAGGCGACGAUCCGUAGCUGGUCUGAGAGGACGAUCAGCCACACUGGAACUGACACACGGUCCAGACACCUACGGGAGGCAG